AAACUUACAUUUUAAAUCAUGAACUUUACAUUCCUUCCAAUUUUUCCUUAAAAUUGAGCUCCGGCCAUCGGAGAGGCUGAUGUGGCGCCUAUGUGGCAGCCGGGCACGUGCCAUGUAAUUCGCCGGAAAAUAACUUAGACGUCGCACCUGCUUCAACCCAAGCAGUUUUCUCCGCCACAUCAACUGUUAUUUCACUGAGAUUGAUCAAAUCAAUGAUCACAAACUGGACCUGGGAUAGAUAAGAUAGUCCCUCGAAGUCAUGGCCGCCACUUCGAGUCCUAAUCUGUAUGUCAUUCUUUUUGGCACAAUAUAUGACCGGUGAGAUUUGGGAUUCGUGUUCUGGGGUUAUGAUCACUUGCGGUUUUGAAGCUGAUGCGAACCUCAGAUUUUGGAUGGAGAAUUGCAAGAUAGAUGAAUAAGAAGAGUUGAUUGGGGUGUAAAUGAUGUUGGAUAUGGAAGAGUAGUUGUUGAAUUCUUUGGUCAGACAUAGACGGAGCCGGGGGGGGGGGGCUAGGGGGGCCUAGAGCCCCCUCCCAAAUUUUGAGUUUUUUUUUUAAUUUUAAAAUAUAUAUAGAUAUAUGUUUAUACCUAUUAUAAAAUAAUUUUGUUUAAUAAAAGAGUAUUUGGUUAUUAUAUUCUCUCAUAUAUAUACUUAAUUUAAGGAUAAUUCCGUUAUUUAAAACUAUAUAAUCUAUGAAAUAUUGUUUGUUAUUAUUACUAUUAUACUUAUCUUUUAAUAAAAAAUGCCUAAUAUGUAUGAAAUGCUAAAAAAAAUUAUAAUGUAUUGAAACUAAUUUGUAAUAUAUAGAAAAUAUAUAAUCUAUGAACAUGUUGUUUGUUAUUAUUAUUAUGCUUGCCUUUUAAUAAAAAAUGUCUUAAAUAUACGGAAUGUCUCAAAAAAGUUUUGUGAUAUAUUGAAACUAUAUAAUCUAUGAAAAUAUUGUUCGUUAUUAUUAGUAUUAUGCUCGUAUUUUAAUAAAAAAAUACCUUAAAUAUACAGAAUGCCCAAAAAAAAUUUCUCGCCCCAAAAUUAAUUCCUGGCUCCAUCCCUGUGGUCAGACAUACAAGAAAUUUGUCUGUAGACGAUGAUGCUUGUGACCACGAAAUGAUGGCAAGAAGAAUAAAAGUAGUUGUAAAAAUAUUGCUUGGAUAUUUCAUGAUUCGAAGAUGAUCUAGUUUGUGGAGUCUCGUUCAUCAAAGCUCAAGCAUUGUGCUUUGUUCUAGAUCAUGCAUGUGUUGGGUAGAAAACUAAAUAGAAAAUAAAAUAUAUUUUUGGGUAAUUCCACACGCAAUCUAUUCUUUUUAUAUAAUUUUCCAAAUUUUGUUACAUACAAUAUAAAUAGAAACAAUAGGACCGAAUGGCCCUACUGGGCAUACAAAAUCAAAAUUUAGCCUCAAAUCUUAAAACAUCAAAUUUUAGCCAUUAAUUAGGCGGUAUGCCUAAUUUGCCCCUUUUCCAUCGCACUCCAAUGGCUGCCUCUUCCGCCGCGCUGAACUCAAAUGGCCUCCGAAGUGAAACCGCCGAGCUGCUCCACUAUCCUCCGUCCUUCAAUUGUCGUCGCGGAGUUCUGAGCCUGCCGUCGAAUGCUCUCACGAACCGGAGUUUAAUCUGCCAGCGCCGCUUUCGCCGCGUCGGAGUGGUGAGAUCGUCCGCCACCACGGCGGAGUCGGAGGCUGACUACGCCGCCGGCGAAGGAGCACCAGGUGUCGGCAGAUCUGAUCUGAUCUGUAGGCGGCGGCGACAGAUCUAAUCUGAUGAGGCGGUGGCGGAUCUGAUCUGAUGAGGCGGCGGCGGUGGAUCUGAUCUGAUCGUUGCGCCGCCUCCUCCAUCGGCAGAUCUGAUCUCCGCCUCCUUCGAUUUCAGCCAUCGACAGAUCUGAUCUGAUCUGAUCUGUGCUGCACGUAUGGCACUAAUAGUGCCAUAAGUGCACACUUCCCCCUAGGGUUUAGAUAUUCCAUUUAGGGUUUAGAUUAUUCAUUUGGGGUUUAGAUGUUCCAUUUAGGGUUUAGAUUAUCCAUUUAGGGUUUAGACGUUCCAUUUAGGGUUUAAAUGAUGUUGUUGUUUCUGUAUUUGUGCUGAUGACCAUUUUACUUAGUUUUAUUUUGAAUUUCGUUGGCACUAAUAGUGACAUAAGUGCCAAAUGACUAUUGUACUGGUUUAUUUUGGAUUUUCGAUGGCACUUAUGGCACUUAUAGUGCCAUAAGUGCCUAACCCGACCCGGCACGCGACCCGCGUGCCUGAUCCUACCCAGUCCGUCUCAUUAAGGGCAAAAACGUCCAAAUCAAUAAAAAUGGCCAAAAUUUGUGUUUUUUCAAUGUGUGACCAUAAAUUGUGUUUUAUGCUUCAUUUUUGCUACUUCAAAAUUUUACUCAUAAAUAUAUUAUUUUUAUAGUUACGUUUUUGACCUUCUAAUGCCCAACGCAAUAACUCUUAAUCAUACAAUGCGCGCGUAGUGUCCCACCAUAUCCUACAUGAAUUUUGUAGAGUAUUUAGGAGUUCACAAUAUUAAAGUCAGCUCUCUCUCUCUCUCAUUUAAAUUUUCUAUGAAAUAUAAUGAACAUAUUUUGAUGGUUUUCGACCCAAGAACUUUGUGUGACUCUAACAAUUAUUUUCUCCGUCCCACGAAUCUUGACACGUUUUCUUUUUUGGACCGUCCCACGAAUUUUGACACAUUUUCAAAUAAGGUAAUAACUAUUACAUUCUCUCUCCUACUUUAUCACUUUUAUACUUUAUUAACUACACACUUAAAACACUAAUCUACAAUUCCUUAGUUUCCGUGCCAAAACCAAACGUGUCAAGAUUCGUGGGACGGAGGGAAUAAUAAACUACAAAUCCAGUUUUCAAAGUGCCAUGUCAAUUUUAGAUCUCAUCCAUUUUUUUCUAUCCUUUCCCAAUAAUAAACUAGUUCUUAAAUUUUUGAGACCCCGCUAUAAUAAAAAAAAAAAGGAAAAGAAAAACAAGAAAGAGAGCCCAAUUUCAACCAAAAGCAAGAGAAAAACACAAAUUGGAGGUAGGUCCAUGGCGUCAGAUGUGAAGUUGGUUGCGUGUUCGAAACCAAUUUCUCGCCAAUUUCUUGAAAACCAGUUUCUACUCUCCCCAAUGGUGGUUCCCAAACUUGAAACUAGCUUUUUUGUGUUGUUGGAGGCACCCUUAGGGAUUUAAAUUGGAUUGGACUUGUGUACCGUACUCGAAUUAAUCAAGUGUAACGGAACCUAAAAUUGGCGCAAUCACAGCACCCGAUUAGUAAAUCGGACCGGGUACAUAGGUCGAAGACUUGUAUUUACCCAAUAUAUAAUUAAAAGAACUCCUUUUUCUGCAAAAAAGAGACUAAAAGCAAUAACGUACAGACAAGCUAUAAUAUGUCAGAUAACACACGCCAAAUCAGGAAUCGUGGAGUGUCGGAGGCCGAGACAGGAAGCAACGGGAAUGAGCGCCAAAGCUUGAAGGUGCUGCGACUUCGUGUGCUAGCUCAAGGUCGGAGCUGAGCUGAUGGCUUGCACAAUGAAAGAGAGUCAGAGAGAGAGAGAGACGAGAUAGUUGGGGAUUUCACUUAAAUUUUUUUUAUACUUUUUUAUUAGAUUUAAGGUUCUAUUUUUUUAAAAUAUUAAUUAUAUAAUUUUAGGAAUAUCAGAUAUACCCAAUACGUGAUCGAGUAUACUCGAUACCCGACUUUCUCACAUGCAUCUCUAAUAUUCGAUCCCAAUUCGAUAUUCUAUAUCUGACCGAGUAUUGAUUGAUCGGGUCGAAUUGAAUUGGGUAUACUCGAUAAGCUAGUUCUAAUUGCCAUCCCUACAAAAAGUUGAGAUGAUGUCGACAAAAUCAAAUGGAAUGAAUCCAAAAAUGAAGGAUUUUUGGUACAUAUCUUAAAGAACCUAAAAAGAUGAUGGAUGGACUGUUAGAGAUAUUUGAAAGGAUUUUAUUUUGCGAAAGGGAAAAUUAUGAACAAAAAAAUUGUCAAUAUCUUAGUGAAAGAAUUAUUAAUAUACUCCCUCCGUCCCGCUUUUAGUAUUCAUAUUUCUAUUUUAGACUGUCCCACAUUUUGGUAUAUAUUUUUAUUUUUAGUAAAAGUAGGUGAGACUCUUAUUCUACUUUAAUUAUUUUAACACUUAAAUAGAAGACAUGACCCUUAUUCCACUCAUAAAAAAUCCAAUCAUUUUAUUAAAACUCGUGUCACUCUCAAAUGGAUACUAAAAAUUGGGACAGAUGGAGUAUUAAUUAGGUCAAGUGGGAUUAAGAUUAAAGGUUUUAUAUUAAUUAUAUUUUAUUUUUGGCCCACUAACCUCUAGUAAAUGAUCUUGUUGAAGCAUUAAAUGCAUUCUUUGGGAAAAUGAUUAAAUAUUAAAAACCAUGGCCACAUUAAAUGUAUUCUUUGGAAAAAUGAUUAAAUAUUAAAAAACAUGGCCUUUCCGCCCUUUCUGACUUUAUUUAGUCCUAUUAUGCAUAUUCGUGAAUUAUAUGCGUAGAAGAUUACAAAAGCUUUAUGAAAAAAAAAUUGAAAUAAAAAAAUUGUAAUAAUUUAGAAACAUUACAUUUCAUUAUAACAAUAAUUACUUUUUUUUACGACAAUAAUUACUUUUUAACUUUUUAUUUUUAAAGAUUAAAAAUAAAAUAAAAAUAAAAUAAAAAUUAAGAAGUCCCUAAUUAUUUCUAAUUUUAGACUGGGCCUAUUAGAGUGGACGUCCCAAAAAGAAAAACGAGCCUAUUGAAGUGCGACGGAGGGAGUAGUAAUUUUUAACUUAUCUGCCUACACAAAAAAAGUCCCUCCAAAAAAUUUGAAUGACAACCAUUUUGAGACUCCACGGUUGUAAUAUUUAAUUAACAGCCUCAAAUAUCCAAAAAAAAGUAGUAAUAUUUUAUCUGAAUGUUUAUAAACACAUUUAAUUAUUUAUAUUAUUAUUACACAACUAUAUUUACAUGUGCUUAAUUAUGCAUAGUUAAAAAAAAUUACAACAUUUCCUAAUAAAUAAAAUUGUUUUAAACAUAAACUCAAAAUAGUAUAAAUAUAUAAUUUCAAAAUAUAUUGUAAAAGUAAAUUAAAAAAUUAAAAAUUAAAUUAUUAAUAAAAUCUGAAAAAAAAAGCAAUAAAAAGGAAAGAAGGCAGUUCUCGAAAAUCGUGUCCUACCAUAAUUGUUAAGUUGACUGUGGUAAAUAAAUUUAGAACAUUAAAAUAAAAACAAAAAUACACUCAAAACACCUUUACACUUGGCAGCAUCACAAGUUCACAAUCCUCAUGUAUUACAUUAUAUGCAGGAUGGACUCUCCUAUAUAAGGAUAUUAACAAUUAUACAAACUUAAUCAAGUUCAUUCUUACAUCCAGGGGCGGAGCUAGGGGUGGGGCAGGGGGGUCACUGGGCCCCCCUGGGAUUUUCAAAAAUACUAGGAUAUUUUUAUAAUUUUAUAUUAAAAAUAAAAAAUAUGUAAUUUUAUCUACAUCAUUAUCUUGUUGAGCUAUUUUAUACUCUAAUUGAUAUGUAAGUUUUAGAGUUAAGAUGCUUAGAAUAAGUAAUCACAUAAUUAAUUUAUACAUAUCAUGCUUGGAUUUGAUUUUAGAGAUUUAUUUUUUGAAUUUGAUAUUGAAAGUUACUUUGCCUUACAAAGUUUCAUGGAAUUUUGGAAAAUAAAAUCACAAACUAUUUUGAAUUUGCAAUUUUAAUGUCUUUUGAGUGUGGCGAAUUAAAUCACUAUUUUUUCAAGUUUUGCAAUUUCGUCCCCCAAUUUUUUUCGAUCGCUAGAGUGUUGAAUUGGAGCUUACGUGUAUUAGUAAAGACGACGACGUUUUUGUGAGGCCUAAACGACAUCGUUUCGUAACAUUUCAACUAAAAAUUUCUCCAAAUUAGAAAGAGACUGUAUCAUGUAUUUGCACUAUAUGUAAUAUUCAAUAUUUAGUAAUUUUAUUGCAAAAUAUAUCGUAACAUGAAUAUGAUCAGCUUGAAAAUCUGUUAAAAUGUGUUUUUUGUAAUUUAAAUAAUAUUAUAAUUGUGUUAUUGAUUAUCAUUUAUUUUUAAUUUAAGUAAUAUUUUUAUUUAAUUAUUAAUUUUCUUUAAAAAAAAAAUGAAACAAACAGAUAAAAUCAAGCUCGUUCCAUGCUUACAUCAAUGUACAUGUCAUCCAUUUUAGAUAAAUUCGAUGAAGCAAAUCGAAUUGUCAACCAGAUCUGUAGAGUUGCUUAAGUCAAACAGCAAUGCAUAAUAGAAAAUAGAAAAUAAGUUUAUUAUUGAGGAUUUGCGUGAAUCACGUUGAAUGCAAUGGCGGAAUGCUCUGUUCGUUCCUGAAGAAUUAACAGGAUAACAAAUGCCAGCGGUGAAAGAGUUGAGUUGCGUUUUGCUCCAAAGUCCUGCCGAUUCUGAAAACGGUAACUCUUUUUGGAACAUCCACUAGUUGUACCUGUCGGAACAUCACAUAAUUAUCGAAUUAAUUAAGGAGAUCAUAAAUACAAGUAACUGAAAUUGAAGAAAAACAAUAAAAUGGGAAAAAGUUGGAAACGAGCAUUUGAUAUGUUGUAGCAUUCAAGUAAUUAUACCUUCCAAGAAACGAUCACGCCGAAGCUGGCACCUCCACCGCCUCUGAUUGCCCAGAACAGAUCUUCACCCACUUGAUCUUCUAUCAAGAAUUCUGCCAUUGACAUCGAUUAUUUUGCGUCGAUGACUUGAUCUGCAGCUAAGCCAUAUUUUCUCAUCAACGUGCCGUAGCCUCCUCCGCUAAAGUGACCGCCGACACCAAUUGUUGGACAAACACCCAGCAGGAAACCCAGAAUACCACUUUCUCGGCUAUCCUGUAAUAUAAAGAGCCAAUAGUUGCACCGGAUUCAACCCAUGCUGUCUUUUCACCAACAUCAACACUUAUUUCACUAAAUUUGAUCAAAUCAAUGAUCACGAACAGGACUUGGGAUACAUAAGAUAGUCCCUCGUAGUCAUGGCCACCACUUCGAGUUCUGAUCUGCAGGCCAUUCUCUUUGGCGCAAUAUAUGAUAGGUGGGAUUUGGGAUUCGUGUUCUGGGGUGAUGAUCACUUGUGGUUUAGGAACUGAAUCUGACGCGAAUCUCAGAUUCUGGAUGGAAAAUCGAAGAACGGAAGAGUAUGAUGAAUUUGUAGGGGUGUAAACGUUGCUUGAAAUCGAAGAAUAGUUCUUGAAUUGUUGGGUUAGACAUUCAAGAAAAUCUCGGUGCUUAUCGGCGGCAGAAGCGGCGCGUGAGGACAAAGAGAUGAAAAGAAGAAGAAGAAUGAAUGAGAGUGUAGAAAUGUUAGGAAUCUUCAUGAUUCAGUGAUGAUGAUGAUUUUAAUUGUGUUUAAAAGUCUCCACCGUAAUCUACUUAUAGGAAAAGUAUGCGAAUGUUUGAAUUCGAGACGUCAGAUAUUGUUCGUCGAAAUUCAGCAUUUAGAUUAAUCAAAAGCCACAUAAAUUCUCUAUGAAAAUUAUGUAUUCUCUUGCCUUCUCAAAGUUCUUAUCUCCAUUACUUGUGAG
Molecule: long non-coding RNA, 7462 nt
Filed under: Salvia miltiorrhiza (redroot sage)
Lineage: Eukaryota; Viridiplantae; Streptophyta; Magnoliopsida; Lamiales; Lamiaceae
Description: long non-coding RNA (SMIL_LNC008101)
Source: RNAcentral